RNAcentral lists this ribosomal RNA (768 nucleotides) under Lewinskya speciosa. RNAcentral's name for it is "partial 26S ribosomal RNA". It matches the Rfam family "Eukaryotic large subunit ribosomal RNA", at positions 36 to 791 of the family's 3401-position model. The record is from RNAcentral. RNAcentral also lists the same sequence under 1 other name. Lineage: Eukaryota; Viridiplantae; Streptophyta; Bryopsida; Orthotrichales; Orthotrichaceae.
UAGCAUAUCACUGAGCGCAGGAGAAGAAACUAACCAGGAUUUCCCUAGUAACGGCGAGCGAACCGGAAAGAGCCCAGCUUGAAAAUCGUGGCGCCCCGGCGCCUCGAAUUGUAGUCUGGAGAAGGUCCCUCUGCGGCGCGCCGGACCCAAGUUCCCUGGAAAGGGACGCCAUCGAGGGUGAGAGCCCCGCUGAUUCCGGAGUGCGCCGCUCCACGAGGACCUGUCUGCGAGUCGGGCUGUUUGGGAAUGCAGCCCUAAGCGGGUGGUAAAUUCCAUCCAAGGCUAAAUAUUGGCAAGAGACCGAUAGCGAACAAGUACCGCGAGGGAAAGAUGAAAAGGACUUUGAAAAGAGAGUUAAAAAGUGCUUGAAAUUGCUGGGAGGGAAGCGAAUGGAAGCUGCGGGUGCGCCCCGGUUGGAUGUGGAACGGCUGUCAAAGGCUGGUCCGCCGCUCAACGCGGGGCGCUGGUCAGCGUGGGCCAUCGCGGCGGGACAAGAGCGGGGAUUCGCUUCCCGCCGAUGCCGCUGCGGUGGCCGAGGAACGAAGCGCGCGCUCUUCAUGGGCGUGGGACUUGUCCCAACUGCGCGCUCGGGACGCUGGCGUAUUGAGCUCUUCAUCCGACCCGUCUUGAAACACGGACCAAGGAGUCUAACAUGUAUGCGAGCCGGUGGGCGGCAAACCCAUUGAGGCGCAAGUAACCUGACAGGUGGGACCCCGACCGCAAGGGAGGGAGCACCAUCGACCGACCGUGAUCUUCUGUGAAGGGUUC